Molecule: ribosomal RNA, 388 nt
Filed under: uncultured bacterium
Lineage: Bacteria
Description: bacterial SSU rRNA
Rfam family: Bacterial small subunit ribosomal RNA
Source: RNAcentral
GACGAACGCUGGCGGCGUGCUUAACACAUGCAAGUCGAACGGUGACGAGGAGCUUGCUCCUCCGAUCAGUGGCGAACGGGUGAGUAACACGUGAGUAACCUGCCCCAGACUCUGGAAUAACAGUUGGAAACAGCUGCUAAUACCGGAUACGAGACGGAGAGGCAUCUCUACCGUCUGGAAAGUUUUUCGGUCUGGGAUGGACUCGCGGCCUAUCAGCUUGUUGGUGAGGUAAUGGCUCACCAAGGCGACGACGGGUAGCCGGCCUGAGAGGGCGACCGGCCACACUGGGACUGAGACACGGCCCAGACUCCUACGGGAGGCAGCAGUGGGGAAUAUUGCACAAUGGGCGAAAGCCUGAUGCAGCAACGCCGCGUGAGGGAUGACGGCC